UAUCUCUGUAGAGUCUGCAUAUCAAUAAGCGGAGGAAAAGAAACUAACUAGGAUUCCCUCAGUAACGGCGAGUGAAGCGGGAAGAGCUCAAAUUUGAAAUCUUCAAGGUUUUACCUUGACGAAUUGUAGUUUAAAGAAGUGUUUUCUGUUGGAGUUUUGGUAAAAGUUCUUUGGAAUAGGACAUCAUAGAGGGUGAGAAUCCCGUAUUUGACCAUUAUUUCCAGCUUUGUGAUACACUUUCAAAGAGUCGGAUUGUUUGGGAAUGCAGUCCAAAAUGGGUGGUAAAUUUCAUCUAAAGCUAAAUACUUGGCGAGAGACCGAUAGCGAACAAGUACCGUGAGGGAAAGAUGAAAAGAACUUUGAAAAGAGAGUUAAACAGUACGUGAAAUUGUCAAAAGGGAAGCGUUUGACACCAGUGUUGUUUUCUACGAAAAUCAAUUUACUGAUGCUAGCUUACUUAUCCUUGUUUUUUCUUGUCUUUGUGAAUGCACUUUUCGUGGAACAAGUCAACAUCAAUUUCUUUUGCUGUAAAAGGGUAAGAGGAAGGUGGCUUCGGCUUCGGUUGAAGUGUUUAUAGCCUUUUAUCUCUGCAGUCGGAGAGAUUGAGGUCUGCAGCGUAGACUCUUCGGGGUUAGAUACGUCGGUGCUAAGCUAUAGCUUUUCAUAGACAACUUGUUGACUAUGUUUAGUCAUGUGGCUUACCCGCUGGCGCUAUUUUACCUACGCUUAGGAUGUUGAGUCAUCACACAUCUCU
RNAcentral lists this ribosomal RNA (754 nucleotides) under uncultured Neocallimastigales. RNAcentral's name for it is "partial large subunit ribosomal RNA". It matches the Rfam family "Eukaryotic large subunit ribosomal RNA", at positions 24 to 618 of the family's 3401-position model. The record is from RNAcentral. Lineage: Eukaryota; Fungi; Neocallimastigomycota; Neocallimastigomycetes; Neocallimastigales.